RNAcentral lists this ribosomal RNA (421 nucleotides) under uncultured Gammaproteobacteria bacterium. RNAcentral's name for it is "bacterial SSU rRNA". It matches the Rfam family "Bacterial small subunit ribosomal RNA", at positions 11 to 429 of the family's 1533-position model. Lineage: Bacteria; Pseudomonadati; Pseudomonadota; Gammaproteobacteria. The record is from RNAcentral.
GUUUGAUCGUGGCUCAGAGUGAACGCUGGCGGCAGGCCUAACACAUGCAAGUCGAACGGCAGCGCAGCAGUAGCAAUACUGUGGGCGGCGAGUGGCGGACGGGUGAGGAAUACAUCGGAAUCUACCUUGUCGUGGGGGAUAACGUAGGGAAACUUACGCUAAUACCGCAUACGACCUACGGGUGAAAGCGGCGGACCGCAAGGCGUCGCGCGAUUGGAUGAGCCGAUGUCCGAUUAGCUAGUUGGCGGGGUAAGAGCCCACCAAGGCGACGAUCGGUAGCUGGUCUGAGAGGAUGAUCAGCCACACUGGAACUGAGACACGGUCCAGACUCCUACGGGAGGCAGCAGUGGGGAAUAUUGGACAAUGGGCGCAAGCCUGAUCCAGCCAUGCCGCGUGUGUGAAGAAGGCCUUCGGUUGUAAG